UAUCAAUAAGCGGAGGAAAAGAAACCAACAGGGAUUGCCUUAGUAACUGCGAGUGAAGCGGCAAAAGCUCAAAUUUGAAAUCUGACGUUUUUGACGUCCGAAUUGUAAUUUGGAGGGAUAUCUUCGGAGCCGGCGCCGUCCUAAGUUCUUUGGAACCAGACAUCACAGAGGGUGAGAAUCCCGUACCUGGAUGGCUGUCCUGCUCCAUGUGAAGUGUCUCCGACGAGUCGAGUUGUUUGGGAAUGCAGCUCAAAAUGGGUGGUAAAUUUCAUCUAAAGCUAAAUAUUGGCGAGAGACCGAUAGCGCACAAGUAGAGUGAUCGAAAGAUGAAAAGCACUUUGAAAAGAGAGUCAAAUAGUACGUGAAAUUGUUGAAAGGGAAGCGCUUGAGACUAGAUUCAGCCGGCGGUCAUCAGCCAUGUUUUUAUGUGGUGCACUUGCCGUCGGUUGAGCCAGCAUCGGUUCUGAUGGCGGGAUAAAGGUUCCAGGAAUGUGGCUCCGCCAUCUGGUGGAGUGUUAUAGCCUGAAGCGCAAUGCCGCCUGUCGGGACCGAGGACCGCGCUUAUGCUAGGAUGCUGGCUAAAAGGUCUUAAGCGGCCCGUCUUGAAACACGGACCAAGGAGUCUAACAUCUAUGCGAGUGUUCGGGUGGAAAACCCUUGCGCGUAAUGAAAGUGAACGGAGGUGGGAACCCUUUGGGGUGCACCAUCGACCGAUCCCGAUGUUUACGGAAGGAUUUGAGUAGGAGCAUAGCUGUUGGGACCCGAAAGAUGGUGAACUAUGCCUGAAUAGGGUGAAGCCAGAGGAAACCUUGGUGGAAGCUCGCAGCGGUUCUGACGUGCAAAUCGAUCGUC
Molecule: ribosomal RNA, 852 nt
Filed under: Otidea unicisa
Lineage: Eukaryota; Fungi; Ascomycota; Pezizomycetes; Pezizales; Pyronemataceae
Description: eukaryotic LSU rRNA
Rfam family: Eukaryotic large subunit ribosomal RNA
Source: RNAcentral